This 293-nucleotide ribosomal RNA is filed under the name uncultured bacterium. Its description in RNAcentral is "partial 16S ribosomal RNA". It matches the Rfam family "Bacterial small subunit ribosomal RNA", at positions 505 to 796 of the family's 1533-position model. The record is from RNAcentral.
GUGUCAGCAGCCGCGGUAAGACGAACCGUGCGAACGUUAUUCGGAAUCACUGGGCUUAAAGCGCGUGUAGGCGGAUGAGCACGUCUGUCGCUGAAAUCCCCCGGCUCAACCGGGGAACGGGCGGAGAUACGGCUCAUCUGGAGGGGCGUAGGGGGACCUGGAACUUCCGGUGGAGCGGUGAAAUGCGUUGAGAUCGGAAGGAACGCCCGUGGCGAAAGCGAGGUCCUGGACGCCUACUGACGCUGAGACGCGAAAGCCAGGGGAGCGAACGGGAUUAGAAACCCGCGUAGUCC